GUAACCGUCGAGGAGCCGUUCAGGGUAAAACCGGUGACUGGGGCUAAGUCGUAACAAGGUAGCCGUACCGGAAGGUGCGGCUGGAACACCUCCUUU
This 96-nucleotide ribosomal RNA is filed under the name Mariniradius sediminis. RNAcentral describes it as "partial 16S ribosomal RNA". It matches the Rfam family "Bacterial small subunit ribosomal RNA", at positions 1430 to 1533 of the family's 1533-position model. Lineage: Bacteria; Pseudomonadati; Bacteroidota; Cytophagia; Cytophagales; Cyclobacteriaceae. The record is from RNAcentral.